RNAcentral lists this long non-coding RNA (358 nucleotides) under Ursus maritimus (polar bear). RNAcentral describes it as "lncRNA (ENSUMAG00000012128.1)". The record is from RNAcentral. Lineage: Eukaryota; Metazoa; Chordata; Mammalia; Carnivora; Ursidae.
GAGCUUCAACCAGAAGAGAAUCAAAGAGAACUUUGAGGUUUUUAACUUUGAAUUGACUCCAGAAGACAUGAAAGCAAUUGAAGGCCUCAACAGGAAUUUCCGAUAUUUCAAACUACCGUUUGCUGUCGGUCAUCCUCAUUACCCAUUUUCUGAAGAAUACUGACCACGAGCUAUCAGCAUUCGCUCUACCAGAAUUUCUCCCUUUCAGGGCUCGGAAAGGCUUCUGUGCGUGCUGGAGAUGAUUAACAGCAGUGUCUGUGGCUUCAGGCUGCUUGCCUGUCUUUCUUUUCUUUUCUUUUCUUUUCUUUUCUUUUCUUUUUUUUCUUUUUAAAGAAACAAUAAAGACUUCAAAAUAAGC